RNAcentral lists this ribosomal RNA (500 nucleotides) under uncultured bacterium. Its description in RNAcentral is "partial 16S ribosomal RNA". It matches the Rfam family "Bacterial small subunit ribosomal RNA", at positions 29 to 523 of the family's 1533-position model. The record is from RNAcentral.
AUUGAACGCUGGCAGCAUGCCUUACACAUGCAAGUCGAGCGGCAGCACGGGAGCAAUCCUGGUGGCGAGUGGCGAACGGGUGAGUAAUAUAUCGGAACGUGCCCAGUAGUGGGGGAUAACUGCUCGAAAGAGCAGCUAAUACCGCAUACGACCUGAGGGUGAAAGCGGGGGAUCGCAAGACCUCGCGCUAUUGGAGCGGCCGAUAUCAGAUUAGCUAGUUGGUGAGGUAAGGGCUCACCAAGGCGACGAUCUGUAGCUGGGCUGAGAGGACGACCAGCCACACUGGGACUGAGACAUGGCCCAGACUCCUACGGGAGGCAGCAGUGGGGAAUUUUGGACAAUGGGCGCAAGCCUGAUCCAGCCAUGCCGCGUGCGGGAAGAAGGCCUUCGGGUUGUAAACCGCUUUUGUCAGGGAAGAAACGGCUCCUACUAAUACUGGGGGCUAAUGACGGUACCUGAAGAAUAAGCACCGGCUAACUACGUGCCAGCAGCCGCCGUAA